This 4373-nucleotide long non-coding RNA is filed under the name Gossypium barbadense (sea-island cotton). RNAcentral's name for it is "long non-coding RNA (GBAR_LNC004688)". Lineage: Eukaryota; Viridiplantae; Streptophyta; Magnoliopsida; Malvales; Malvaceae. The record is from RNAcentral.
CGGGCUUCCACAGUCUAAAAUGGAGACCAUCAAAACAUAAAGAAAUAAUAAAAGAAACAGAAAAAUAAUGAAUCGUCAGAAAAUAAAUACACCUUGAAAAAAAGGAAACUUAAUCUACUCUUAUUCAAUCUUCCAACGGCUGGAAACCAUUAAUCCUUCUCGUCGUUUCAUUUCAUCUAUCCCAUCUGUUCCAUCCGUCUGACGAUAACACUGCCCAAAAGUAUCUUUCUUUGCUAUCUGCUUUAAGACCAAAUCCUCUCUCUGUCUUCUUAGUUUGGAUUCCUUGCCCAUUGCUCUGCUGCACCAACAUUGUGACGAAUCGUCUCUUCAUUCUCCAAGUAUGCCCUCUCGCUUCUCUUUAAUGCUUUCUUCGCGAUAUUAUGGGCUCUCGUAUUCUUCAUUUUCUGGAUAUGCUUGAACUCGAUCUUCUGGAAACAUGAUUUUUUACUUUGGAUGUCUCUGAUAAUCGCUCCAAUAACUGAAUAAUCGGUUGCUGUUGACUGACAUUUCUUGAUUACUGUUAGUGAGUCACCUAAUAUUUGUAUUUCUUGAAAACUCAUUUCGAUUCCUAACUUAACUGCUUCCAACCCUGGAUAUGCUUUUGCUGCGAACAGAGAUGCAAUAUUGUUAUGAAGAAUCGAUUUCGAGGCCAAAUACUUGUUCAUCGUGCCCCAGACCACUAGCCCUGAUGCCGAUCUGAAAUCUCUAUUAUCGAAUGCAGCAUCAAACUGGAUUUUCAUAAUUGGUAAGUCCUCCACAGUUCUUUGAUUAUGCACCAUGUUUGAUAAAAUUUUCUUUGCUUUAAUCCCUUCAUAUUCUGCCAUGUGGUUCUGGACUUUUUGUGCAAGGUCUUUGCCUAUUGAACGUACCCUUUCAUGCAAAAGCUGGUUUCUUGAAUGCCAAAGUAACCGUAAGGCAUAACAAAAGUAUCUGCACUGUUCGUUUGUUCCUUGUUUGAAAAUUUCGGUAAGCUAUUCCCAAAAAUUUUGAUGCGUGAUAUUUGUGAUCCAAGAUAGAUUUAAUAACUGCCAGACUUCGGUGCUUAUAGGACAUUGCCUGAAGAUGUGAUGACAAUCUUCUUCCCCAUAACCACAACAAGGACAACUAGAAUUUGUCACUAAUCUUCUAUAUCUGAGAUUGCCCAAAAUAGGAAUGUAAUUCUAGGAGAUGCGCCAGAUUAUGAUUGUAAUCUUAGAUGGUAGCUGUAGGUUCCAUAGCUUUCCAAAAAAUUCCUUAAUUUUGGUUUGUAAUAGAUAAUUACUAGGAUCUAGAUUAGCAUUUUGUAAUAGUUUGUAGGCACUACGAACUAAAUAUUCACCAGUCGGUUUGCCCCUCCAGACUUGAAAGUCCUCGAGAUCUGAUUCCGAUAAUGGGAUUUGUAAAAUUAUGCGAGCAACAUCCGGGUGAAAGGUAUUUCUAAUCAGCUCUGCCCUUCAUUUCCUAUUCACAUUAUCAAUAAGAUCCAAUACUAACUCUAACUGCAUAUUGUCUGAACUAUUGUGCCUUUCUAAUGAUUCAAUCAUUCCAAAUAGAUACUUUAUUUCCUAUUCCAAUUCGCCAACAUAAACCUUUUUGAAAGAGACCUUUUGCUGCCCAAAUGCUCUUCCAGGUAAGUGAAGAUAAAGUUCCUAACUGAGCCUCUAGGAAAUUCGAUUUCGGUUAUUAUUUUACUUUUAAGACCCUGGCUAGUAAUGAAUUAAGAUAAUUAAUUAGACGCCAUCCUUGUUUAGCAAGCAACGCAAUAUUAAAUUGGCUCAAAUUUUGAAAACCUAAGCCACCAUUUUCUUUUAAAAAAUACAGAUUUUUCCAAGUGCACCAAUAAAUUCCCCUUUUCCCAUGUCCCUUCUACCACCAAUAUUUUGCUAUAAUAUUUUCGAGAUCAUUACAUAGAGAAUGAGUUAAUAAAAAACAGGCCAUCGUAUAAGUUGGAACAAUUUGAAGAAUUACUUUCAUAAAGACUUCUUUCCCACCUUGCAAUAGAAACCUGAUACUCCAGUUAUCGAUACGUUUUUUAAGGCGAUCUUUCAAAUUCUGAAAAGCUUCAUUUCUUCUCUUUCCCACCAUAUUCGGCAGACCCAAAUAGCGUUCUGGCUCGCUUGAGCUAUGGACUCUCAAUACAUUGACUACCAGUUGCUUAUCUUCCUUUAAUGUGUUUUUACUGAAAAAUAUCGUUAAUUUAUCAAAUUUCAUAUACUGACCCGAGCAAAGUCUGUAUUCUUGUAAGAUAUUUUUGAAUAAAUGUGCCCCCUUCUUGUUGCUUCCCCAAAUAGGAUACAGUCAUCUGCAAAUAUUAAGUGUGAGAUUAGCGGACCAUUCCUACUAACCUUCACUCCUUUCAAAAGCCUUUCCCUUGCUGCUAGUCGCAUUAGACUCGAUAAGCCCUCACCACAUAAAAGAAAUAGAAAUGGGCUUAAUGGGUCACCCUAACGAAGUCCUCUAGUCAAUUGAAAUUUCUCUCCUAAAUGUCCAUUCAUGACCACUAAAUAAGAAACAAUGGUAAUACAUUGCAUAAUAGUCUCUAUACAUAUAGUUGCAAAACCCAUUCGUAUCAUUAUCUGCUUUACAAAGUCUCAUUCUACUCUAUCAUAAGCUUUACUCAUAUCAAGUUUCACUGCCAUGAACCCUUUUUUCCCCAUCCUCUUUUGCUUCACGUAUUCAAAAUUUCAUAAGCUAACAACACAUCAUCAGAUAUUAAUCUUUCUGGUACAAAAGCAAUCUGUGCAAUAUCAAUACAUUUACCAAUCACUUCUCGAAAUCGAUUCGCAAUAGCCUUUGCCAAGAUUUUAUACAGAACAUUACAAAGAUUAAUCGGACGAAAAUGCCUCAUAUCAGAAGGGCUAGAAUUCUUUGGGAUUAGCACAAUAUUUGUAGAGUUAAUUGAACUAACCUCCAUAUCACCAUUUAAAAGUUGUAGACAGCAACCAGUGACUUCAUAUCUAAUAAUGUGCUAGUAUUUCUAAUAAAACAGUCCUGGAAGUCCAUCCUUCCUGGAGCCUUCGUAGAUCUCAUCUCGAACAACGCCGCUUUGAUUUCUUCCUUCGUAUAUUUCGCAGUUAGUUGUUUAUUGUCCUCAUCAUGUAUGCACUGGCUAAUGCCUGAUAACAAAUGUUUAUUAGGGCCUCUUGGUCCUGUCGAGAAUAACUUAUGGAAAUAUGAACGAGCGACUCCCUUCAUUUUUUGUGUAAUGACCCGAAUUUUACCGAUACUGAAAAAGUGUAAUUUUGGACCUUUGUUUAUGAAAAAUGGAUUCGUAAAUAUUUAUUAAAAAUAUUUACGAAGUAAAAUGAGUGGUUAAUUAGAGUUUAAUUAAGUGAAUUUAACUUAAUUAAGAGUGAUUAGGAAAAAAGAUUAAGUUGAAUAAAGUGUAAAAAUUUAAUUACAGAAUUAAAGAAGAUAAGGGGGACUAAAUAGGCAAUUAAGCCUAUUCUAAAGAAUGGGGCAGCAAAACAUAAAAAUCUUUGAUUUUUAUGUUGUUUAAAUUAUAAAUAUAUUAUUAAUGUUAUUAUUUUAUUAUAUUAUAAAUUAAAUUAAUUAUAUUAUUAUAUUUUGAAAUAAAUUAAGAAACGACAAAUGUAUGGUGUAUAUGGAUAUGGUGACAUGUGUAAUAUUAAUAUACAUACAAUUAUAAAAUACAUGUAUAUUUACUUAUCAUAUAAGUAUAUUAUUAAAUUAUAUAUUAGUAUUAAGUAAAAAAAUAUUUAUAUAAUAAAUAGAUUAAAGAAAGACAAAUGUAAGGAUAUAAAUGGAUACAAAUGUUAAAUAAAUAUUGGUUAGUAUGAAAUCGAGACAAGUUAUUAUGAAAAUAUAUUUAAAUUAUCUGUAAGUGUUUUGUACUCCUCGGUACUGCAAUUGUAAUGACCCGAAUUUUACCGAUACUGAAAAAGUGUAAUUUUGGAAAAAUGGUAAAUUACCAAUAUGCCCCUAAAUCUUGGUAUUUCUGCAAUUUAGUCAGGUAAGUUCGUAUAUCCUGAAUGAGUAUGUAAAUAUGACAAUUUAAGUAUUGUAUCGUAUUUUAUAUGAUAUUUUGAAUUGAAUAUAUGAAAAGGAUGUUACAUGAAACAUGAAAAUGAAUACUAAAUAAUAUAAAUUACUUAAUAAUUAUUCUGAAAAUCUCGGUAAUGCCUCGUAUCCUAUCCCGGUCUCAGGUACGGGUAUGGGGUAUUACAUUUAAUGGUAUCAGAGCUAUGGUUUGUCGGUUCUCGGACCAAACGUAGUAUAUGUGAAGUCUAAAAACACAUGUCAUUAAAAUAUGUGAUAGUGUGAUAUCUCUCGACUCUAAUGAAAUUUGUUUUACUUAUAGAAAGAGAUGUUUUUCUACCAAGCUAAUUCUGAUAAUGCCAAAAGUGAUACUCAAGUAUAAGAGUAGAAAGUUG